This 465-nucleotide ribosomal RNA is filed under the name uncultured bacterium. Its description in RNAcentral is "bacterial SSU rRNA". It matches the Rfam family "Bacterial small subunit ribosomal RNA", at positions 338 to 795 of the family's 1533-position model. The record is from RNAcentral.
CCUACGGGUGGCACCAGUAGGGAAUCUUCCACAAUGGGCGAAAGCCUGAUGGAGCAACGCCGCGUGUGUGAUGAAGGCUUUCGGGUCGUAAAGCACUGUUGUAUGGGAAGAACAGCUAGAAUAGGGAAUGAUUUUAGUUUGACGGUACCAUACCAGAAAGGGACAGCUAAAUACGUGCCAGCAGCCGCGGUAAUACGUAUGUCCCGAGCGUUAUCCGGAUUUAUUGGGCGUAAAGCGAGCGCAGACGGUUGAUUAAGUCUGAUGUGAAAGCCCGGAGCUCAACUCCGGAAUGGCAUUGGAAACUGGUUAACUUGAGUGCAGUAGAGGUAAGUGGAACUCCAUGUGUAGCGGUGGAAUGCGUAGAUAUAUGGAAGAACACCAGUGGCGAAGGCGGCCUUCUGGACUGUAACUGACGUUGAGGCUCGAAAGCGUGGGGAGCAAACAGGAUUAGAUACCCCCGUAGUC